This 253-nucleotide ribosomal RNA is filed under the name uncultured bacterium. Its description in RNAcentral is "partial 16S ribosomal RNA". It matches the Rfam family "Bacterial small subunit ribosomal RNA", at positions 524 to 776 of the family's 1533-position model. The record is from RNAcentral.
UACAGAGGGCCCGAGCGUUGUUCGGAUUCAUUGGGCGUAAAGGGUGCGUAGGCGGUUUGCUAAGUUUGAUGUGAAAUCCCGGGGCUUAACCCUGGAAUUGCAUUGAAUACUGGCGGACUAGAGUCCUGGAGAGGAAACUGGAAUUUACGGUGUAGCAGUGAAAUGCGUAGAGAUCGUAAGGAAGACCAGUGGCGAAGGCGAGUUUCUGGACAGGUACUGACGCUGAGGCACGAAGGCCAGGGGAGCAAACGGG